GGUCUCUUUGUGCACCCGCCCACACGGCUUGCGGACCUUUUUCCCUUCGCUGCUUUCCACCGGUCUCGGCAGGGUCUGAGGACUCCGGAGAGCAAGGCAUGAGUCCGCCUCGUGCCGCAGGUUCCUGGCCCACGCCAGCUGGACCCAGUAGCACCAUGGGAUUUGAGGACACACGCCGGCUGCCUACCCUUGAAGAAAGGGCUUUGCUGCUGUGCACUGACAAGUUGGGACGGCUUUUUAUUGCUUUGUUGCCAGUUAUCUGAACAUGAGAGGCUAUAAGGUGUAAUCUAUGCGAGCUGACUGCCCUACGCCCAGACUGAACCAGGGCCUCACUUGACUGAGUAUUAGACAAUGUAAUAAAAACUUACCUUGCCCAGACUAUAUAAUGGCUUGGAAAUGCACAGUUUCCCGAAAGAUCUCAAUAAAAUACUUUUAAAAGGA
RNAcentral lists this long non-coding RNA (441 nucleotides) under Mus caroli (Ryukyu mouse). RNAcentral describes it as "lncRNA (MGP_CAROLIEiJ_G0013484.1)". The record is from RNAcentral. Lineage: Eukaryota; Metazoa; Chordata; Mammalia; Rodentia; Muridae.